Fragaria vesca subsp. vesca is the source of this 886-nucleotide RNA transcript. RefSeq lists it as uncharacterized. The transcript has 3 exons. The record is from RefSeq and is a predicted model, not a curated record. NCBI's taxonomy places the organism in Eukaryota, Viridiplantae, Streptophyta, Magnoliopsida, Rosales, Rosaceae.
GAGCUUCAAUACUUCAUCACCUUGCAUGUCUUCAAGGUUGCUAUUAUCACUUCUCAUCAUUCAAGAACAAGUGAGAAGAAAGAAAAGGCAAAAAUAGGCAUGUUAAGGGUUGGCCGGGGCUAAUUUCUGGUUCUCUGAAGUGGAUUAAUUAGGUGAUCGAGUCGGAUCGACAAGCAAAUCUAGAUCUCUGCUGAAGAUCUCCUUUCUUUUUUCCAUUACACUUAAAUAAUAGCACCUUACUCAUCAUGGUCUCCGGCGGUAGGUAUAAGAACUCGAAAAAUACAUGUUAGUUGCAGAGGUUUGAACCCCAUGCCAGAACCAGUAUGGCGUAUUAUUGGUUUUUGAAUUUGAGAAAAGUGAUAAGCUAGCUAGCUAGUUUCAGCAAUCUGAGUGAUGAAAAGAUGAACAAAUCGGAGUCGCUAGAUUCAUGCAGGCUUGCAGUGCAGAGGUACAAAACGUUGGUGGCGGACCAUGCUAGUCGCUGACAGCCUUGUCGUUCUUGUUCAUUACCCAUAUCUCAAAGAAUCACACAGAUGGCUCCAUUUCUUCAAUCAUCACGAUUAUCUGGACUGUUGUAAAUUUGGAAUCCACUCCAAUAUAUAACAACAGAUCAACAACAUUCAGGAUGAUCAGUAUUCACUAGCUCGCUACAGCUGAUCAAUAACGAUCGAGCUAGCCAAACACAGGGUUAUCAUAUUCGUUUAUGUUAACUGCUGAUCACAUCUUCAAUUGUAUGUUAAGAAACUAUGUGUUUCUGGGUUAUUCCUGCGACCCCAAAUUUGUGUGCUUGAAUUAUCUUUGUCUUUUUUGUAAGUUCAGUUAUGAGUUAUGAUCACAGAACAAUGCAUACUGUAAUAUCAACUGAAACAAAUUUAGUGUGUUGCAA